GGCCUGAAACCGGUAGUGGGUGGUCUUGCAAGAUGGCGGCGCCCAGGCGGCUCCUGCUGGCGCUGGUGAGUGGCGCUUCCGGGCCGCGGCGCUACCGCCGGGCGGGGCUGGUGGAAGCGGGCGGCGCCACGCGGAGCCUGUGCGCGGGCGGCCCCCUGAGAGAGGCCGAGCGCGGGGCGGAACAGGAGCCGGGAGCGGACGGAGCGGGAGAAGCCGGCGCAAUGGUGAAGGAUUCCAGAGACUUGUUGAAAGAAUUUCCACAGCCGAAAAACUUGCUCAACAGUGUGAUUGGAAGAGCCCUGGGGAUCUCUCAUGCAAGAGACAAACUGGUGUAUAUCCACACUAACGGGCCAAGAAAAAAGAAAGUCACUCUGCACAUAAAAUGGCCUAAGAAUGUGGAAGUGGAAGGCUAUGGGACCAAAAAGAUCGAUGCUGAGAGGCAGGCUGCAGCUGCUGCAUGCCAGCUCUUCAAGGGCUGGGGGUUGUUAGGUCCCAGGAACGAGCUGUUUGAUGCUGCGAAGUACCGAAUCCUUGCUGACCAGCUUGGCUGCCCGGAGGACAAGUGGUGCCCUGAAAGCAAAUGGCGUUCCAAGUCUGGACCAUCUCUGGCUGACUUGUCGACUUGUUGGAGACGGGUGGAACCAGAUGACUCCAUCCAGUCCAUGGAGCAAGGCAGGAUGCCUAAAGCGAUGAGAAGAGAGGAGCUGGAGGAAGGGGAGCUAGAGGAGGGGGAAUUGGAGGAAGGGGAGCUGGAAGAAGACACAAUUGAUGUUACUGAUUACCUGUCUAUGGCACAGAACGAAGCUCGGACCCCAGCUAGAGACAUGAGGGGAGGGACCUCUGUUGAAAUGACAGAUGACAACAAUGCCAUCAGGGCUCUGACCCAGUUCCCUCUACCCAAAAACCUUCUGGCCCAAGUGAUUCAGAUUGCAACCUCUUCCUCCACAGUCAAGGAAUUCAUGCAGUUCCGUACCGUGGGCACCAAGACUAAGAUCUGCAAGCUCACUCUGCGCUGGCCCUGCCCGAUGACCUUCGCUGCCAAGGGCCGCCGCAAGGUUGAGGCCGAGAACAAAGCAGCAGCACUGGCCUGCCAGAAGUUGAAGAGCCUUGGCUUAGUAGACAAGAACAACAACCCACUGAGCCAUGCCAUGUACAACAUGACGUCCCUCAGGGAGCUGGGCGAGAAUCAGAGGAGACCCUGCCACAUCAAAGUCCCUGAGGCCACCCUGCGUAAGAUCGAGAACUACCUGAACCACUACCCGGUGGCCUCAAGGGAAUCCAGGCCUCGGAUUGCUGACGACAUGAUGAACCUGAGUAAGGAGUCUGGUGCGAUCAGUGAUGCCAUCACAGGGAAGACCUACACGCCCAUGUCGGAGGGGGAGGAGGUGCGCCUGAGCCAGAACCUCCUGGCCCUUUGGAAGAGGAGGGGUUCAUUGUGGCUGGAAAGCCACCAGCUGCCUGUCGAUCCUCACAAGGACACCAUCUUGUCGGCCAUUGAGCAGAAUCCUGUGGUGGUCAUAGCAGGAGACACCGGCUGUGGGAAAACCACCCGGAUCCCUCAGCUGCUGCUGGAGCGUUACAUCCUGGAGGGGCGCGGCGCCCGCUGCAACGUGGUGAUCACCCAGCCGAGGAGGAUCAGCGCCAUCUCGGUCGCCCAGCGGGUUGCGCAGGAGCUGGGUCCCAACAUGAGGAAGAACGUGGGUUACCAGGUGCGGCUGGAGAGCAAACCGCCAGCCCGGGGAGGAGCCCUGCUCUUCUGCACGGUGGGCAUCCUCCUGCGAAAGCUGCAAGGGAACCCCAGCCUGGAGGGGGUCAGCCACGUGAUUGUGGACGAGGUCCACGAGCGGGACGUCAACACCGACUUCCUGCUUAUCCUGCUGAAGGGCAUCCAGAAGCUCAACCCCGACCUGCGCCUGGUCCUGAUGAGCGCCACAGGGGACAACCAGCGCUUCUCGCAGUACUUUGGGGACUGCCCCGUGGUCAAGGUGCCGGGUUUCAUGUACCCAGUGAAGGAAUAUUACCUGGAAGAGAUCCUGGCCAAGCUGGGCCGGCACAGACACCGGCACUACGAGGUGAAGCAAUCAGAUGAUGAAUGUGUCCUCGACCUUGAGCUGAUCACUGACCUUGUGCUCCAGAUCGAUGCCCAUGGAGAGCCAGGUGGGGUCCUCUGCUUCCUUCCUGGCUGGCAGGAGAUCAAAGGAGUGCAGCAGCGCCUGCUGGAAACACUCGGCUCUCAGAACACCCGGUACCUUGUCUUACCAGUGCACUCCAACAUCCCCAUGAUGGACCAGCAGAACAUCUUCCAGCGGCCCCCGCCUGGAGUGAGAAAGAUUGUCCUGGCUACCAACAUUGCUGAGACCUCCAUCACCAUCAAUGACAUAGUGCAUGUGGUGGACAGCGGCACUCACAAGGAGGAGCGCUAUGACCUCAAAACUAAGGUCUCCUGCCUGGAAACGGUGUGGGUGUCCAAGUCCAAUGUCGUGCAGAGGCGAGGGCGUGCUGGCCGCUGCCAGUCGGGCUUUGCCUAUCACCUCUUCCCUCGCAGCCGCCUGGACAAAAUGCCCACUUUCCAGGUUCCUGAAAUCCUGCGCACUCCCCUGGAGAAUCUGGUGGUGCAGGCCAAGAUCCACAUGCCAGAGAAGACGGCAGUCGAAUUCCUCUCCAAGGCUUUGGAUAGCCCUGACAUCAAAGCUGUGGAUGAAGCUGUGAUCCUCCUGCAGGAAAUUGGAGUGCUGGAUCAGCGGGAAGCCCUCACCACGCUGGGCAAACGCCUGGCCCAAAUCUCCACAGACCCUCGGCUGGCCAAAGCCAUUGUCUUGGCAUCCAUCUAUCGCUGCCUUCAUCCGCUGCUCGUCAUCGUCUCCUGCCUCACUCGGGACCCCUUCAGCAGCAGCCUGCAGAACCGAGCGGAGGUGGACAAGGCGAAGGCCAUUCUGAGCGGAGAGAGCGGGAGCGAUCACCUGGCCUUUGUCAGGGCCGUGGCCGGCUGGGAGGAGGUGCUGAGGCGCAGAGACAGCCGUGCCAGAGAUAACUACCUGCAGGACUACUUCCUUUACGCCCCCAGCCUGCGCUUCAUCAACGGCCUUGUCAAGCAGUUCUCCGAGAACAUCUACGAUACCUUCUUGGUGUCGGCGCCCUCAGACUGCACCAUGCCCUCUGCGGCCUGCAACCAGUACAGCGAGGAGGAGGAGCUGGUGAAAGGCGUCCUCAUGGCCGGCCUCUACCCCAACCUCAUCCAGGUGAGACAAGGCAAAGUCACCCGGCAGGGAAAGUUCAAGCCCAACAGUUACUCCUAUCGGACAAAGGCUGGCACCGUCCUGCUGCACAAGUCGACCAUCAACAGGGAGGCCUCUAAGCUGUACAGCCGCUGGCUGACGUACUUCAUGGCGGUGAAGUCCAACGGCGGGGUGUUUGUGCGGGACUCCUCCCAGGUCCAUCCGCUGGCCGUGCUGCUAAUGACUGACACGGAUAUCCACGUCCGAGACGAUGGCUGGCGGGCGACGGUCUCUCUGACCGACAGUGACCUUCUGGUACUGGAAGGAGACUCGUACACGAUCCGCCUCUUGCGUGAUUUCCGAGUGUCGCUCUCCAAGAUGGUGGAGACCUGCCUGUGUUACGAAAUGUCUGCUAUCCCGGGGGACCUGCACCAUCAGCACAGCCAGCUGCUUGACAUCCUGGUGGAUCUGCUCAAGGGACCUCCUGGCAGCUUUGGCGCCUAGACAGAGGUGGAGGAUUGAGCGUGGGGACUUGUAAUUUGUAUAAAGAUGUUCACAAAUGUUUAUUUAAAUAAAGUUCUAUUUAUCCCUUGUGAAGUCAUCUCUCUCCAUCCUAGAAGAUCAGUGUUGUCAGAAUCUCCUGCUGUUGGCUCCGGGCCUGGUCAUCGUGUAGGAGGAACCAGCGCAACCCUGGCGUCGGCCGCUGCUGAGACACACAGAAGGGACUGGAAGUGCUGACGCCCCCGAGUUCAAUGGAAAGCCACUUCCUCUCUUCCGAGGGUCGUCGUAGCCCCUGAACUGGAAAGCAAUCGACACCGCUGACUCCUGCAACCCUUCCGUCGCCUCCACCCCGCGGGGCGUGCCCAGAGCAGCUCUCCCCACUUUGAGGGCUGCUCUCAACUUAGGAGGAAGUUGGACUUUCAGCUCAUGGCUGUUCCUGCACUGAGGGUCGGGGCCAGCCAGAGCCGAGCUGGCAGCUCUGCUGCAGGGUGGUGGUUUGUCAUCUUAAUUUUCCACUUGCUGAGCCCGGGCUGAAGAGGCAAGAGGGAGAGCGAGCCCCGGGAGGGUCUGGACCCGACAUUCCAUGCCGAGGGCAUCUCUGAGCCUGUGGCAGCUAGAGGUGGUUUCCUGCUGCACAAAUCAAGCUCAGUGUUGGCAUUAGGAGUGUGAGAUGUCAUGUAGUUUCUAUCUGCCUGUAUUUUUGUCCUUUUUUGCUUUUUAUUUUUUUAAAUUUCUCGUUCUCCCUCUGUCAAGGAGGCCAGCUCCCUGUAACCUGUGCAACCCAUAAAGCGAUUGCAGAGGCCACUCAUUCUGGUAGCCUGUUUCCUUGAGUAAUGCUAUUCCCUGUUUUUCUAUGACCUAGGACCAGAGUAGCACAGACGGAGGGUUCUGUGACUAACGCACAACGUUCUCAGGCAAGAGCUCUAAUCCCAGCUCUGUCUCCAGUCCCUGGCUGUCGAUGAAGAUAGCAGCCUACCUCACAGGGCUGUUGUGAGGAUAAAUUCACUAAUGUCUGUAAAGUGUGUGAGACGGGUGGCUGGAGAGUGCUACAGCUGAGCUGGUAUCGGAAAGUCGCUUUGCAGAUGAUGUCUAUUAUGAAGUGCACCAGAGGCGCAGGUGAAAGUCCUGUAUCCUAACGCUGCAGCCGUCUGCUUGCUAGUACAGGCACUGCUACGGCUACUGCUGAUCUGCCCAGCAGGGAAAUGAAAGGUGGUCACUGGACUUGCGAUUUGUUUUUAUUUCUACUGCUCUUUGUAACUAAAAAAAGAUUAAUGCUACCCUAAUGGCAGCUGGCAGGGGCACCUGUGUGAUGGAAAAAGGUCAUAACUAGGCCUGGCCCAGCCCAGCCCAGAGUCUAGGUAUGGGGCACAGUAUUGUAACUGGGUUCUCUGUUACCCUUCUAAUUGGGCUGGUAAUACGCCACUAGGAGCUCCAUCCUCCCACACGAGAGCCAGCAGCUUUCUGUGUAUGGAUUAACUACAGGAGCAAAAACUAGCCUGUCAUGGCCUUGCACUGGGCUAGAACUGUGGCAAAGACAUGAAGCAGGCCCUUGCCCUUGUAACUGAAGCACUCCAUCUGGUGGCGUGGAGAUGGAAUCGCUCCGCUCUAGCUAUGGACUGAAGGAUGGGCAGAGGGUGGGAAAGCUCACUGGGGGUGGUUACAAGGGACCAGAUGUCACUGGUGGCAGUGAGCUCCAGGCUCUCUUUGAGUAGCAUUGUUCAGAACUGCACCUGAGGGAGGGGCUGUCCCAGGCAGCCUGGCGGUCUUGGACCCUGUAGUCAUGCAAAACUUUUCAUCUCCAUUUCACUUGCUUGACAGGUUGUCACAAUAAUUUGACCAGUGUUUUACAUUUUCAGUCUGUACAAUAAACAGUAUGGUUUUUCCCUUCCAGCAGGUAAAAAAAACUAAGCUAUUGUCUAAAUGGUUCAGAACUAGUGUGAUAUUGGGAUACUUCAGUGGCUGUUAUGUGAUACUGGAUCUUUUUACAACAGUAGAUUAAAGACAAUAAAAAGGGAUAGAGUAGUAA
Chrysemys picta bellii (western painted turtle) is the source of this 5742-nucleotide non-coding RNA. The record is from RefSeq and is a predicted model, not a curated record. Lineage: Eukaryota; Metazoa; Chordata; Testudines; Emydidae.